AACUAAAGUCAGGAUCAUGUCAUGGAACCCAGGAGAAAAGCCCCCAGCCGGUACUUAGUGCUGUGAACUCCAGGUCCACUGUACGAACGGCUCUAUCUCAAUAUUUCCUGGGAAAGAACCGAGAUUCAUAGAUUGGUUUCAGGAGUAUAUUCUAAUGCACCUCCAACUAUACCAGAUUCCACAGCUAGAUGUUGGCUCCAUGGAUGCAGAAAGCACAAAAUGAGGACCCAGAAUAAACUCAAAACAACUGGGAGAAAAGGAAGACCUUCAGCAAACAUUCACUAGAAACUCAGGUCCAGAGGCUGUAGACAAACUCCUCAACUGGUGUAAUUCAACACAGCUAGAGUGAAGUCAACAGAGGGACACUGGUUUACAGCAGCUGAGGUUCUGGGCAUACAAGUGGAAUUUGUAUAAAUAAGAUGUGGUUCUUGAUCAUUAUUGUCUGUAACAAAAGAUAUAAAUGCUUGCUCUCACUGUUUAUCUAAGGGAGACCUGCCUGGGAUGGGAGAACCCCUG
Long non-coding RNA from Gopherus evgoodei (Goodes thornscrub tortoise), 516 nucleotides. RefSeq lists it as uncharacterized. The record is from RefSeq and is a predicted model, not a curated record. NCBI's taxonomy places the organism in Eukaryota, Metazoa, Chordata, Testudines, Testudinidae. The transcript has 3 exons.